This 133-nucleotide ribosomal RNA is filed under the name uncultured bacterium. RNAcentral describes it as "partial 16S ribosomal RNA". The record is from RNAcentral.
AGGGUACCGUCAGGCCUAACGUGUAUUAUACGUUAGGAGGUUCUUCCCCUCUGACAGAGCUUUACGACCCAAGAGCCUUCAUCACUCACGCGGUAUUGCUGCGUCAGGCUUUCGCCCAUUGCGCAAAAUUCCC